Molecule: RNA transcript, 1959 nt
Organism: Telopea speciosissima
Lineage: Eukaryota; Viridiplantae; Streptophyta; Magnoliopsida; Proteales; Proteaceae
Gene name: renalase
Exons: 10
Source: RefSeq, a predicted model, not a curated record
GAAAGAACGAAAACUAUGAAUGCUUCUUGCAGUAGCUGCGCAUUCGUCCUUCAACCGCUCAAAACUCCGAAAUAUCCUAAAUUUCUCUUUUCCAAAAAUCCCCGAAAUCGGACCCUUAUUUGUAAAGCAGAAUCAAAACCCAAUAACCCCGGUGGCUCCAGCAAGAGAAAUACAAUGGAAGGUAGCAGACCCACCCGCAAAAACCCCAGAAGAUCUUCUUAUGGAGCAUCAAGGGGGUCAAUUCUGAAGAAAUCAUUCAGUCAGGAGCAGGUGGUAUUCACAACUCCAAUCCCUGAAGACCCAAUUGUUGCCAUUAUCGGUGGAGGUCUUGCUGGGCUUACUUGCGCUCUCAAUCUGGAGAAACGGGGAGUUAGGUCCACUGUGUUCGAUACGGGGAUUCAUGGUUUGGGAGGAAGAAUGGGAACAAGAGUUAUUGAUCAACAGCCUCUGAUUUUUGAUCAUGCGGCUCAAUUUUUUACAGUGGGUGAUUCUCGGUUUGCUGAGUUGGUAGAUGGGUGGUUGGAGAAGGGUCUGGUACAGCAGUGGCAGGGUCUAAUCGGAGAGCUUGAGGUGGGUGGUCAAUUUGUUACACUGCCUUCUUCAUGUCCAAGAUAUAUUGGUGUUAAUGGGAUGCGCCCCCUUGCAGAUUCAAUUCUUUCUCAGACUUCUAUGGUUAAUGUGAUGAGGCCAUGCUGGAUAAGUAAACUUGAUCCGUAUAACGGGAUGUGGCACUUGAGCGAGAAUGGAAAACCUUGUGGGCAGUUUCAUGCAAUUGUUAUUGCACACAAUGGAAAAUGUGCAAACCGCUUGCUUGCGUCAUCAGGUUUACCAUUAAUUGCAAGACAAAUGAAGAGGCUGGAACUUAGUUCUAUCUGGGCCCUUCUUGCAGCAUUUGAGGAUCCUCUUCCUACCCGAGGUAUCCCUUCUUUUGAAGGAGCUUUUGUAAAAGGGGUUGGUGCUGUUUCAUGGAUGGCAAACAACACAAAGAAACUGUUCCCUUCCCAGAGCAUUGGACCUUACUGCUGGACCUUUUUCAGCACGGCUGCUUAUGGAAAACAAAAUAAAGUUCCACAGGAAAACAUACCAAAUGUGACUGCAGAGAAGGUGAAGGCCAGUAUGCUUGAGGGCGUAGAGAGUGCAUUGGGAUUAUCAAAGGGUUCACUUCAGAGACCCUUCUAUACUAGAGUUCAGUUAUGGGGGGCAGCUCUUCCGACAAAUACUCCUGGUAUCUCCUGCAUCUUUGAUCCUCAAGGACGGGCUGGAAUAUGUGGAGAUUGGCUUCUGGGUUCAAGUAUGGAAUCUGCUGCUUUGAGUGGCAUGGCUCUUGCCAAUCAUAUUGCUGAUUAUUUUCAAAGUGGUGGAUCUCAUUCAGAUGAGUUUGCUAUUGGUUUACACAAUAAAUUUCAGCCUAUUGAAGGACAUGAUAUCGGGCAGUUUCCAGGUGUGCAGUCUAACAAAGAAGUUACUGAGUCUCGGCUUGUAGAACAUAAAGCAUACUGUUGAAUCAUUGGAUUAAAGCUUCACAACUUCUGAAAGUUGGUAGAGGCAGACAUUGUAAAAUACAUCUAAGAAAAUGCGAUUGCAAUUAUGGUCUCUCAGUAACCGUAUUGCCAUUUCAUAAAAAAAGGAUUAACAGCUUUCCGGUGGCCUGCGUAAUGUAACCUGACAUGUUCCUCGGCAUUCUAUUAUUCAUAUCCAUUUCUAUUUGUGAUGGGUCAUCACAUUUGGUUGAAAUCCUUGCAGUCUUAGUAGGAGUGCAAAGCCAUUGGUGUGAGUAUGGUUUGAACUUCCUAUUCUGUUUUCCAUUGAAAGAAUGUUGUAACGAUCAUAGACCAAAAAAAGAAAAGCUGUGACAAUUUGAUGUCAUUGACUAUCUGUUAAUGCCUAAUUUUUCUUUUAAAAAGUGCCUAGCUACCCAUCUGGUUACACCUAAUCUGAAGUGAUACUUACUUUAAUUUU